CUGUACUUAUGAACCUUUUAAAUUAAAUUUUUUUCCAGGGAUUUCUGUCAAUCAAAGAUCAAUAAGCAACCCUCCACCGUUAGUUUAUUUACUUGAUAGACAAUUAGAAAAUAUUUCUCACCCCCAGUCUCCCUGUUUUUUUUUUUUUUAAUUCUUAUUAUCUACUCCACAUUUACUAUAUAGAAACAAAGUAUAACAAACAAACAUAAUGUAUCAAUAAAUGUGAA
Molecule: non-coding RNA, 227 nt
Organism: Pelobates cultripes (western spadefoot toad)
Lineage: Eukaryota; Metazoa; Chordata; Amphibia; Anura; Pelobatidae
Source: the annotation of a GenBank genome assembly